RNAcentral lists this ribosomal RNA (223 nucleotides) under uncultured bacterium. Its description in RNAcentral is "partial 16S ribosomal RNA". It matches the Rfam family "Bacterial small subunit ribosomal RNA", at positions 524 to 746 of the family's 1533-position model. The record is from RNAcentral.
UACGUAGGGUGCAAGCGUUGUCCGGAAUUAUUGGGCGUAAAGAGCUCGUAGGCGGUCUGUCGCAUCUGCUGUGAAAACUCAGGGCUUAACCCUGAGCUUGCAGUGGGUACGGGCAGACUAGAGUGCGGUAGGGGAGACUGGAAUUCCUGGUGUAGCGGUGAAAUGCGCAGAUAUCAGGAGGAACACCGGUGGCGAAGGCGGGUCUCUGGGCCGUAACUGACGC